GUGAACCGGAAAAAGCAUGAAAGCUCUCUGUUGACUGUAGUUUCGGACGCGGGUUCGACUCCCGCCGCCUCCACCA
RNAcentral lists this transfer RNA (76 nucleotides) under Granulicella mallensis. RNAcentral describes it as "tRNA-OTHER". It matches the Rfam family "transfer-messenger RNA", at positions 289 to 374 of the family's 374-position model. From Rfam's summary of the family: Bacterial tmRNA, also known as 10Sa RNA or SsrA, is named for its dual tRNA and mRNA-like properties. Its role is to liberate the mRNA from a stalled ribosome. The record is from RNAcentral. Lineage: Bacteria; Pseudomonadati; Acidobacteriota; Terriglobia; Terriglobales; Acidobacteriaceae.